GAGAGGAUGCUCAUAUCCCAGGAGAGUUCUUGGAACGGAUCACCAAGUGAGGGUUCUGGCUUCGCACAAGAAAGAAUUCAAGAACUGACCUCUAAAGACUCAUGUUGCCUGAGAAAGAAGCUCAGAAGAGGAAGAGAAGGAAAGAAAGAAGAGUUGGGAAUGGCUGUUUCUCGGAUAUGUCUCAUAUACAUAUGAUCAAGAAACUACAACCCAAAGCAAAC
Hippopotamus amphibius kiboko is the source of this 221-nucleotide long non-coding RNA. RefSeq lists it as uncharacterized. The transcript is spliced from 3 exons. NCBI's taxonomy places the organism in Eukaryota, Metazoa, Chordata, Mammalia, Artiodactyla, Hippopotamidae. The record is from RefSeq and is a predicted model, not a curated record.